Molecule: non-coding RNA, 1454 nt
Organism: Microcebus murinus (gray mouse lemur)
Lineage: Eukaryota; Metazoa; Chordata; Mammalia; Primates; Cheirogaleidae
Source: RefSeq, a predicted model, not a curated record
UCAAAGAUUCGUUGAUUUGCAAUUCAUUAAAGAAAUGAAGCUUUAUCUAUAGGCUUGGAGUGUUGUAAGUUAAAAUAAGGAAAUCUGUUAAUCAGAGACAAGCCACUAGAAAUAUACAGGACUCAAGGGAUCUGUUGAGUAAAUUGAUGGCCUGCAGGUGUGGUUUAAGCUUUGUCUUCUUCAAUGGCCUUAGAUCCUGUUAAUGAUUCAGUGUCUUAUUGUCACAAAGAAUAACUCCAAAAAUGGAGGGACCCAGGUAAAAGCAUUCUGGUAGGAAGCCCCUAAGAGGCUGCAGCCGUGGGGGCAACUCAGCCCAGAAAGCGGCCUCUCUGGUUACUGUGCACCUCCAACGGUGGACUUCCAUAGGUCUGAGAUAGGAGAGGUCAGGCGAGGUGACAGGCUCCUCCUCCAAGCCGUGGAGCAACUCAGCCAGGAAAGUGGCUUCUUUCCUUGCUGCAUCUCCCUAAGGAAGGAGCCUGCUCAGCUUGAGGUAGAAGCAGCCAGGCCUGGGGAGAAUCUCGUCUGAGGCCAUGGGGUUGCGACACCCCAAAAGCAGGCUCUCUCAUUACUCUGCUGUCCAAGGCCGGAGCUCAGUAGUCGUGAGGUAGAAAUGGACGUGAGUGCAGACAAGCUCCUCUGAAGGGCAAGGCAACUCGGUCUGGAAAGCGGCUUCUCUGGUUACUCCGCCCCUCCAAGGGAAGAGCCGGCUUAGUGUGAGGUAGAACGGGCGGCUGGGAAUCUCCUCUCACUCAGCCCAUGGCUGUUCGGCAACUCAGUCAGGAAAGUGGCUUCUUUCAUUGCUCCAUGAAAGUUGGGGUUUGACCUGCCGGAAAAGGCAAGUGGCUGAGGGCGGAAUGUUCAGAAAGCAGCCCCUCCAAGGGCAAAGCUUGGUAGGCGUGAGGUGGAAGCAGCAGGGCGACGGGACAAGCUCCUCCAGGCCUUGGAGCACCUCAGCCAGGAAAGUGGCUUCUCUCCUUACUCCGCCCCUCCAGGGGCAGGAUUUGUGCCAGCAGGAAAAGAUAUAGCUGAGAACAAUAUAGAGAAGAAAAAGCACCGGAGGAGAACCAAGAACAACUAGCAUCCCAGCAGAACGUAUUUGAUGAAAGAAGUUAUAAACUAAUCAAGCAAUGUUCACAGGUCUGGUUAAAUGAGCCUUGAGAACUGACUGCAGGAUUUAAUACAGUAGAGAUUACUGGUGACCUUGACAACAAGACUGUUAGCAGAGUGCUGGUGAUAUAUAGUCACUGAAGAUAAUGCUAUUAUAAGACAAAAGUCCCCUUCCUUUUGCGUUCUGACUUUUGACUGAGAUAGUGCAAAAUGGCUCCUAGAAUGGCACUUUUUGUAACUUUACUGAUCAAUCUCUGCAAUAGCACACUGAAAGGUAAGGCCUAUUACUCCUUCUGCAUAGGUUAGUUCCCUUCCUUUGCACUAUGUUGAUUUGGGACUUGGGUCUC